UACGGAGGGUGCAAGCGUUGUCCGGAAUUAUUGGGUGUAAAGGGUGCGCAGGCGGAAGCAUGCGUCGAGGGUGAAAGAUCACCGCUUAACGGUGAAAGGGCCUUCGAUACGGUGUUUCUUGAGUCCAGAAGAGGCCGGUGGAAUUCGUGGUGUAGCGGUGAAAUGCAUAGAGAUCACGAAGAACACCAGUGGCGAAAGCGGCCGGCUGGUCUGGAACUGACGCUCAGGCACGAGAGCGUGGGGAGCGAACAGG
This 253-nucleotide ribosomal RNA is filed under the name uncultured bacterium. RNAcentral describes it as "partial 16S ribosomal RNA". It matches the Rfam family "Bacterial small subunit ribosomal RNA", at positions 524 to 776 of the family's 1533-position model. The record is from RNAcentral.